UGGUGGGAUACCAACCUUGUUUUAUUGGAAUUCUAACGAGAAGCGUAACGAGCUUGCGGACAGUCUCAGGCGGGCAGUUUGACUGGGGCGGUCGCCUCCGAAAGAGUAACGGAGGCGCCCAAAGGUUCCCUCAGCGCGGACGGAAACCGCGCGAAGAGUGCAAAGGCAGAAGGGAGCUUGACUGCGAGACGGACAGGUCGAGCAGGGACGAAAGUCGGGCUUAGUGAUCCGGUGGUAGAGAGUGGAAUUGCCAUCGCUCAACGGAUAAAAGCUACCCUGGGGAUAACAGGCUUAUCUCUCCCAAGAGUCCAUAUCGACGGGGAGGUUUGGCACCUCGAUGUCGGCUCAUCACAUCCUGGGGCUGAAGUAGGUCCCAAGGGUUGGGCUGUUCGCCCAUUAAAGUGGUACGCGAGCUGGGUUCAGAACGUCGUGAGACAGUUCGGUCCCUAUCCAUCGCGGGCGUAAGAAACUUGAAAGGGGCUGCUCCUAGUACGAGAGGACCGGAGUGGACCGACCAAUGGUGUACCAGUCAUGGCGCCAGCCGUGCAGCUGGGUAGCUACGUCGGGGACGGAUAAACGCUGAAAGCAUCUAAGCGUGAAACCAGCCUAGAGAUGAGGUUUCUCAUUGUUUUAACAAGUAAGGUCCCACAAAGACGAUGUGGUUGAUAGGCCGGGAGUGGAAGUACAGCGAUGUACGGAGCGGACCGGUACUAAUAGACCGAGGACUUGACU
This 732-nucleotide ribosomal RNA is filed under the name Megasphaera elsdenii. RNAcentral describes it as "partial 23S ribosomal RNA". It matches the Rfam family "Bacterial large subunit ribosomal RNA", at positions 2190 to 2925 of the family's 2925-position model. Lineage: Bacteria; Bacillati; Bacillota; Negativicutes; Veillonellales; Veillonellaceae. The record is from RNAcentral.